UGUUAAACAGCCGAACAGCCGGCUGUUUUCGGCUGUUUUACAGCCGGCUUCGGCUGUUUAACA
Molecule: microRNA precursor, 63 nt
Filed under: Olea europaea subsp. europaea
Lineage: Eukaryota; Viridiplantae; Streptophyta; Magnoliopsida; Lamiales; Oleaceae
Source: RNAcentral